GCUGAAAUAGUUUAAAGGUUAAAACCUGCCAUUCAUGACGGUAAAAUAAAAGUUCAAUUCUUUUUUUCAGCU
This 72-nucleotide transfer RNA is filed under the name Trametes versicolor. RNAcentral describes it as "tRNA-Met". It matches the Rfam family "tRNA". From Rfam's summary of the family: Transfer RNA (tRNA) molecules are approximately 80 nucleotides in length. Their secondary structure includes four short double-helical elements and three loops (D, anti-codon, and T loops). The record is from RNAcentral. Lineage: Eukaryota; Fungi; Basidiomycota; Agaricomycetes; Polyporales; Polyporaceae. RNAcentral also lists the same sequence under 1 other name.